GAGUUUGAUCCUGGCUCAGAACGAACGCUGGCGGCAGGCUUAACACAUGCAAGUCGAACGCCCCGCAAGGGGAGUGGCAGACGGGUGAGUAACGCGUGGGAACGUACCUUUCGCUUCGGAAUAGUCCCGGGAAACUGGGUUUAAUGCCGGAUACGCCGUAUUGGGAAAGAUUUAUCGGCGAAAGAUCGGCCCGCGUUAGAUUAGCUAGUUGGCGGUGUAAUGGACCACCAAGGCGACGAUCUAUAGCUGGUCUGAGAGGAUGAUCAGCCACACUGGGACUGAGACACGGCCCAGACUCCUACGGGAGGCAGCAGUGGGGAAUAUUGCACAAUGGGCGCAAGCCUGAUGCAGCGACGCCGCGUGAGGGAUGACGGCCUUCGGUGUAACUCUUCUAGGCGAGACGAUGAUGACGGUAUCGCCGGAAGAAG
This 428-nucleotide ribosomal RNA is filed under the name uncultured Alphaproteobacteria bacterium. RNAcentral's name for it is "bacterial SSU rRNA". It matches the Rfam family "Bacterial small subunit ribosomal RNA", at positions 9 to 490 of the family's 1533-position model. The record is from RNAcentral. Lineage: Bacteria; Pseudomonadati; Pseudomonadota; Alphaproteobacteria.